UNUAAAGUUUAAUNUCCUCUAUGAGGAUUUAAAUGGCCGCGGUAUUUUGACCGNGCAAAGGUAGCAUAAUAAUUAGUUUUUUAAUUGGAAGNUGGAAUGAACGAUUGGACGAGAAAAUAACUGUCUCAAUUUAAUUUUAUUAGAAUUUUAUUUUUAAGUAANAAAGCUUAAAUAUUAUUAAAAGACGAGAAGACCCUAUAGAGUUUUAUAAUUGAUAAAUUAUUAGUUUUUAAGUAUAUUUUUAUUAAUAAUUUAUUAAUUAUUUUGUUGGGGCGAUAGAAAAAUAUAAAUAACUUUUUUUUUAUUUAAACAUUGAUUUAUGUAUUUUUGAUCCAUUUUUUAUGAUUAUAAG
Molecule: ribosomal RNA, 352 nt
Filed under: Maladera sp. 836999
Lineage: Eukaryota; Metazoa; Arthropoda; Insecta; Coleoptera; Scarabaeidae
Description: partial 16S large subunit ribosomal RNA
Source: RNAcentral